RNAcentral lists this ribosomal RNA (511 nucleotides) under uncultured bacterium. RNAcentral's name for it is "bacterial SSU rRNA". It matches the Rfam family "Bacterial small subunit ribosomal RNA", at positions 36 to 507 of the family's 1533-position model. The record is from RNAcentral.
CUGGCGGCGUGCCUAAUACAUGCAAGUCGAACGCACUCUCGUUUAGAUUGAAGGAGCUUGCUCCUGAUUGAUAAACAUUUGAGUGAGUGGCGGACGGGUGAGUAACACGUGGGUAACCUGCCCUAAAGUGGGGAUAACAUUUGGAAACAGAUGCUAAUACCGCAUAAAACCUAACACCGCAUGGUGUAGGGUUGAAAGAUGGUUUCGGCUAUCACUUUAGGAUGGACCCGCGGUGCAUUAGUUAGUUGGUGAGGUAAAGGCUCACCAAGACCGUGAUGCAUAGCCGACCUGAGAGGGUAAUCGGCCACACUGGGACUGAGACACGGCCCAGACUCCUACGGGAGGCAGCAGUAGGGAAUCUUCCACAAUGGACGAAAGUCUGAUGGAGCAACGCCGCGUGAGUGAAGAAGGUUUUCGGAUCGUAAAACUCUGUUGUUGGAGAAGAAUGUAUCUGAUAGUAACUGAUCAGGUAGUGACGGUAUCCAACCAGAAAGCCACGGCUAACUACGUG